UCCGGUUGAUCCCGCCGGACCCGACUGCUAUCGGAUUGAGACCAAGCCAUGCGAGUCAACCCGCAAGGGUGGCGGACGGCUCAGUAACACGUAGUGAACCUGCCCUGGGGACGUGGACAACCAUGGGAAACUGUGGCUAAACCGCGAUAGGUCAUUGUUUCUGGAAUGGGCAAUGGCUCAAACCUACAUGGCCCCAGGAUGGCACUGCGGCCGAUCAGGUUGUUGGUGAGGUAAUGGCCCACCAAGCCUGUAACCGGUACGGGCUCUGAGAGGAGGAGCCUGGAGAUGGGCACUGAGACAAGGGCCCAGGUCCUAUGGGACGCAGCAGGCGCGAAACCUUCGCAAUAGGCGAAAGCCUGACGAGGUUAUUCCGAGUGUUCCCUGCUAAAGGGAUCUUUUGCCAGCUCUAAAAAUGCUGGUGAAUAAGGGGUGGGCAAGCCUGGUGUCAGCCGCCGCGGUAAUACCAGCACCCCGAGUGGUCGGGAUGAUUAUUUGGCCUAAAGCAUCCGUAGCCGGCGCAUCAAGUCUUCCGUUAAAUCCACCUGCUCAACAGAUGGGCUGCGGGAGAUACUGCUGCGCUAGGAGGCGGGAGAGGCGAGGGGUAUUCCAUGGGUAGGGGUAAAAUCCUCUGAUCCAUGGAGGACCACCAGUGGCGAAGGCGUCUCGCCAGAACGCGCUCGACGGUGAGGGAUGAAAGCUGGGGGAGCAAACCGGAUUAGAUACCCGGGUAGUCCCAGCUGUAAACGAUGUAGGCUCGGUGAUGGACUGGAUUCGAUCCAGCCCAGUGCCGCAGGGAAGCCGUUAAGCCUACCGCCUGGGGAGUACGGUCGCAAGACUGAAACUUAAAGGAAUUGGCGGGGGAGCACCACAAGGGGUGAAGCCUGCGGUUCAAUUGGAUUCAACGCCGGA
This 909-nucleotide ribosomal RNA is filed under the name uncultured archaeon. RNAcentral's name for it is "bacterial SSU rRNA". It matches the Rfam family "Archaeal small subunit ribosomal RNA", at positions 1 to 922 of the family's 1478-position model. The record is from RNAcentral.